UACGAAGGGGGCUAGCGUUGCUCGGAAUCACUGGGCGUAAAGGGUGCGUAGGCGGGUUUCUAAGUCAGAGGUGAAAGCCUGGAGCUCAACUCCAGAACUGCCUUUGAUACUGGAAGUCUUGAGUAUGGCAGAGGUGAGUGGAACUGCGAGUGUAGAGGUGAAAUUCGUAGAUAAUUCGCAAGAACACCAGUGGCGAAGGCGGCUCACUGGGCCAUUACUGGCGCUGAGGCACGAAAGCGUGGGGAGCAA
Molecule: ribosomal RNA, 249 nt
Filed under: uncultured bacterium
Lineage: Bacteria
Description: partial 16S ribosomal RNA
Rfam family: Bacterial small subunit ribosomal RNA
Source: RNAcentral